Molecule: long non-coding RNA, 432 nt
Filed under: Elaeis guineensis (African oil palm)
Lineage: Eukaryota; Viridiplantae; Streptophyta; Magnoliopsida; Arecales; Arecaceae
Description: long non-coding RNA (EGUI_LNC070742)
Source: RNAcentral
CUACAAGAAAAGUCUAAAUCGGAGUUGGGGGUGCUCUGGCAAGACCCUCCGACGCUCAAGUUAGUACUCUACUUCAACAGAAAUGGAGUGCUCGAACGAAAAUUUUGGCAGAGUUUUGAGAUAGAAUUUUUGAGCUUAGAAAAGAACGUAUCUGGGGAUCCUUAUUUAUAGACGAAGAGUGUAACUGACUGACAGCGACAUCUGUAACCAUCUGGUAGUGGGCCGCUCAGAGCCGUGUGGAGUUUGUUAUGGAGAGUAGUGGCGUCAGAGGUUGUUCAGGGCCACGUGGAGCUUGUUGCAGAGAGUGGAGUGGUGUCCGUUGUCGUGACUUGCUAGAGAGUGGUGGAGCUGCAUGGAAUCCAUUACAGAGGGUGGAGCAGGGUGGCAGUUCUUGUCAUGGCUUGUCAGAGAGUGGUGGAGCCGCGUGGAAUC